AGCAGUCGCCGCGGGAAUACGUAGGGUGCAAGCGUUAAUCGGAAUUACUGGGCGUAAAGCGUGCGCAGGCGGUUAUAUAAGACAGAUGUGAAAUCCCCGGGCUCAACCUGGGAAUGGCAGUGGAUACUGGCUCGCUAGAGUGUGUCAGAGGAUGGUGGAAUUCCCGGUGUAGCGGUGAAAUGCGUAGAGAUCGGGAGGAACAUCAGUGGCGAAGGCGGCCAUCUGGGACAACACUGACGCUGAGGCACGAAAGCGUGGGGAGCAAACAGGAUUAGAUACCCCUGUAGUCCCUGUCUCUUAUAC
RNAcentral lists this ribosomal RNA (303 nucleotides) under uncultured bacterium. RNAcentral describes it as "partial 16S ribosomal RNA". It matches the Rfam family "Bacterial small subunit ribosomal RNA", at positions 507 to 807 of the family's 1533-position model. The record is from RNAcentral.